UGCUACAUCAGCUAGAGCU
This 19-nucleotide microRNA is filed under the name Ciona intestinalis (vase tunicate). Its description in RNAcentral is "cin-miR-4080-5p". Lineage: Eukaryota; Metazoa; Chordata; Ascidiacea; Phlebobranchia; Cionidae. The record is from miRBase by way of RNAcentral.